Molecule: ribosomal RNA, 583 nt
Filed under: Escherichia coli
Lineage: Bacteria; Pseudomonadati; Pseudomonadota; Gammaproteobacteria; Enterobacterales; Enterobacteriaceae
Description: partial 23S ribosomal RNA
Rfam family: Bacterial large subunit ribosomal RNA
Source: RNAcentral
AACGUUGGCCCGUAAUCCGGGUUGCGGACAGUGUCUGGUGGGUAGUUUGACUGGGGCGGUCUCCUCCUAAAGAGUAACGGAGGAGCACGAAGGUUGGCUAAUCCUGGUCGGACAUCAGGAGGUUAGUGCAAUGGCAUAAGCCAGCUUGACUGCGAGCGUGACGGCGCGAGCAGGUGCGAAAGCAGGUCAUAGUGAUCCGGUGGUUCUGAAUGGAAGGGCCAUCGCUCAACGGAUAAAAGGUACUCCGGGGAUAACAGGCUGAUACCGCCCAAGAGUUCAUAUCGACGGCGGUGUUUGGCACCUCGAUGUCGGCUCAUCACAUCCUGGGGCUGAAGUAGGUCCCAAGGGUAUGGCUGUUCGCCAUUUAAAGUGGUACGCGAGCUGGGUUUAGAACGUCGUGAGACAGUUCGGUCCCUAUCUGCCGUGGGCGCUGGAGAACUGAGGGGGGCUGCUCCUAGUACGAGAGGACCGGAGUGGACGCAUCACUGGUGUUCGGGUUGUCAUGCCAAUGGCACUGCCCGGUAGCUAAAUGCGGAAGAGAUAAGUGCUGAAAGCAUCUAAGCACGAAACUUGCCCCGAGAUG